CAAGUCGAGCGAGGCGGCCCGCAAGGGUCAGUCGAGCGGCGAACGGGUGAGUAACGCGUGGAUUAUCUACCCUGAGGUGGGGGAUAACCCGGGGAAACUCGGGCUAAUACCGCAUGAUACCGUGAGGUCAAAGGGGGCUCGCAAGGGCUCUCGCCAUAGGAGGAGUCCGCGUCCGAUUAGCUAGUUGGUAGGGUAAUGGCCUACCAAGGCAACGAUCGGUAGCCGGCCUGAGAGGGUGAUCGGCCACACUGGAACUGAGACACGGUCCAGACUCCUACGGGAGGCAGCAGUGGGGAAUUUUGCGCAAUGGGCUAACGCCUGACGCAGCAACGCCGCGUGGAGGAUGAAGGUCUUUGGAUUGUAAACUCCUGUCGACCGGGAAAAAGCGACCCGACCUAAUACGUCGGGGAGUUGAUUGUACCGGUGGAGGAAGCCCCGGCUAACUCUGUGCCAGCAGCCGCGGUAAUACAGAGGGGGCAAGCGUUAUUCGGAAUUAUUGGGCGUAAAGGGCGCGUAGGCGGCCUGGCAAGUGGAAGGUGAAAUCCCUCGGCUUAACCGAGGAACUGCCCUCCAAACUGCUUGGCUUGAGUCCGGGAGAGGUGAGUGGAAUUCCCAGUGUAGCGGUGAAAUGCGUAGAUGUUGGGAGGAACACCAGUGGCGAAGGCGGCUCACUGGACCGGAACUGACGCUGAGGCGCGAAAGCGUGGGGAGCAAACGGGAUUAGAUACCCCGGUAGUCCACGCCGUAAACGAUGAGUGCUUGGUGUAGCGGGUAUCGACCCCUGCUGUGCCGAAGUCAACACAUUAAGCACUCCGCCCUGGGGAGUACGGUCGCAAGGCUGAAACUCAAAGGAAUUGAUGGGGGGCCCGCACAAGCGGUGGA
Molecule: ribosomal RNA, 882 nt
Filed under: uncultured Bacillota bacterium
Lineage: Bacteria; Bacillati; Bacillota
Description: bacterial SSU rRNA
Rfam family: Bacterial small subunit ribosomal RNA
Source: RNAcentral